This 238-nucleotide unclassified non-coding RNA is filed under the name uncultured Lachnum. RNAcentral's name for it is "sequence contains ITS2". The stretch from base 1 to 52 matches the Rfam family "5.8S ribosomal RNA", at positions 103 to 154 of the family's 154-position model. Lineage: Eukaryota; Fungi; Ascomycota; Leotiomycetes; Helotiales; Hyaloscyphaceae. The record is from RNAcentral.
AACGCACAUUGCGCCCCCUGGUAUUCCGGGGGGCAUGCCUGUUCGAGCGUCAUUUAUACCAAUCUAGCCUGGCUAGGUGUUGGGCUUCGCCGUCUGGUGGGCCUUAAAACUAGUGGCGGUGCUCUUAGGCUCUACGCGUAGUAAUUUUCUCGCUAUAGGGUCCUGGGAGAUGCUGGCCAGCAACCCCAAAUUUUUCUAGGUUGACCUCGGAUCAGGUAGGGAUACCCGCUGAACUUAA